Molecule: small nucleolar RNA, 124 nt
Filed under: Carlito syrichta (Philippine tarsier)
Lineage: Eukaryota; Metazoa; Chordata; Mammalia; Primates; Tarsiidae
Description: Small nucleolar RNA SNORA31 (ENSTSYG00000024112.2)
Source: RNAcentral
GGGCAACAGAGUGAGACUCCAACUAAAAAAAAAAAUUCAGGUUUCCACUACAGAUGCAAGAAAAAAGUGUACUCGUGCUGUCUGUCUGCUUGUGGCAGUCAAGAUUGAUUGGAGGAAUACAGGG